This 74-nucleotide transfer RNA is filed under the name Allosphingosinicella ginsenosidimutans. RNAcentral's name for it is "Sphingosinicella ginsenosidimutans tRNA". It matches the Rfam family "tRNA". Rfam says of the family: Transfer RNA (tRNA) molecules are approximately 80 nucleotides in length. Their secondary structure includes four short double-helical elements and three loops (D, anti-codon, and T loops). The record is from Rfam by way of RNAcentral. Lineage: Bacteria; Pseudomonadati; Pseudomonadota; Alphaproteobacteria; Sphingomonadales; Sphingomicrobiaceae. RNAcentral also lists the same sequence under 5 other names.
GGGCCGGUAGCUCAGGUGGUUAGAGCGCACGCCUGAUAAGCGUGAGGUCGAAGGUUCAACUCCUUCUCGGCCCA